UAUGUGGAUUAUAAUUGGUUUUGGCAUACUUGGAUAUUGCAAAUAGUUGUAUUCUAUUGGUGGAUUAAAUUCUUAAGUGCAUAUUGAUUGGGGAAUUCUAGUUAUUUGAAUUUCCAUGUUGGAUUGGGCUAUUAGAUCUUUUUCAUAAUUAUUGGACACUUUUGGAUGUGUUAGUUUAAUCUCAAGUUUAAGUUUAUGAUUUGACAAGGGAUCUUUAUUAUUGAGUGGAGACUUUGAUUUUGGAGAUACUUAUUGAAAUUGAAAUGCUUGCUAACUGGGCUCGUAGCCAAAGUGUGGAUUAGCUAUGUUGGGAGUCCUCUCGGUGGACAUUUUAGGUUAUGAUUAAUUGGAUUUUGACCAAAAUUUAGUGAGAGAGAAUU
RNAcentral lists this long non-coding RNA (380 nucleotides) under Phoenix dactylifera (date palm). RNAcentral describes it as "long non-coding RNA (PDAC_LNC008700)". The record is from RNAcentral. Lineage: Eukaryota; Viridiplantae; Streptophyta; Magnoliopsida; Arecales; Arecaceae.